UGGGGAAUAUUGCACAAUGGGCGAAAGCCUGAUGCAGCGACGCCGCGUGAGGGAUGACGGCCUUCGGGUUGUAAACCUCUUUCAGCAGGGACGAAGCGCAAGUGACGGUACCUGCAGAAGAAGCACCGGCUAACUACGUGCCAGCAGCCGCGGUAAUACGUAGGGUGCAAGCGUUGUCCGGAAUUACUGGGCGUAAAGAGUUCGUAGGCGGUUUGUCGCGUCGUUUGUGAAAACCAGCAGCUCAACUGCUGGCUUGCAGGCGAUACGGGCAGACUUGAGUGCUGCAGGGGAGACUGGAAUUCCUGGUGUAGCGGUGAAAUGCGCAGAUAUCAGGAGGAACGACGGUGGCGAAGGCGGGUCUCUGGGCAGUAACUGACGCUGAGGAACGAAAGCGUGGGUAGCGAACAGG
RNAcentral lists this ribosomal RNA (409 nucleotides) under bacterium. Its description in RNAcentral is "partial 16S ribosomal RNA". It matches the Rfam family "Bacterial small subunit ribosomal RNA", at positions 355 to 776 of the family's 1533-position model. The record is from RNAcentral.